CUACGUGCCAGCAGCCGCGGUAAUACGGAAGGUCCAGGCGUUAUCCGGAUUUAUUGGGUUUAAAGGGAGCGUAGGCGGACUGUUAAGUCAGCGGUUAAAGAGUGUGGCUCAACCAUACGAUGCCGUUGAAACUGGUGGUCUUGAGUGCACACAGGGAUGCUGGAACUCGUGGUGUAGCGGUGAAAUGCUUAGAUAUCACGAUGAACUCCGAUCGCGAAGGCAGGUGUCCGGGGUGUAACUGACGCUGAGGCUCGAAAGUGUGGGUAUCAAACAGGAUUAGAUACCCUGGUAGUCCACACAGUAAACGAUGAAUACUCGCAGUUUGCGAUACAAUGUAAGCUGCCAAGCGAAAGCAUUAAGUAUUCCACCUGGGGAGUACGCCGGCAACGGUGAAACUCAAAGGAAUUGACGGGGGCCCGCACAAGCGGAGGAACAUGUGGUUUAAUUCGAUGAUACGCGAGGAACCUUACCCGGGCU
This 477-nucleotide ribosomal RNA is filed under the name uncultured bacterium. RNAcentral describes it as "bacterial SSU rRNA". It matches the Rfam family "Bacterial small subunit ribosomal RNA", at positions 501 to 981 of the family's 1533-position model. The record is from RNAcentral.